Molecule: long non-coding RNA, 3529 nt
Organism: Lolium rigidum
Lineage: Eukaryota; Viridiplantae; Streptophyta; Magnoliopsida; Poales; Poaceae
Exons: 4
Source: RefSeq, a predicted model, not a curated record
GGGUAUGGAAAAUUAUGCCGUCGGCCACUAGCGAAAGCCCGUAGCAAUUGCAGCUCAAAGCGCAGGGAGCGGAGCAGCGCACCGACGAAGGGGAUCCUGGUGGCGGCUGUCCACAGGCCCGUGGUGAUGAGCAGCUGAUCUACUGUUACAUGUCGUGGGGAUCCCGUCAAUUGGCGGUUCCUGGUAACAGAGGGUUGUAGUCGUCUCUUCUUGGUCGCCGACGCCCAACCACAGCGGUGGUUAUUGGCUUGGGAUAUUGCAUCCGGUUUCUCCACUUCUGAAGUUCUUGUGCAAAAUUUAUGGGUUUUGUCAGUCAUGCUGGUUGCUUGUGUCGCAGUAAGUGCCUGCUUUGCAUCAUCAUACUGCUGCCCAGAGCUCUAUGGUUCAGAUGGCGCUGUACUUUGGCCUGUAUGGCCCGGUCAGGGAUUCUGUUGUUGGCCAUCCAUCGUCUCUACCUGUUAAUCCCGGUCAUUACAUCGUUGAUGUUUUUGUUUCCUGGCCAUCUGGAAUAUGUUGCUUGCAUUUGGAUUUAGAAACAUGCUAAUACCGUGGUUCAUGUUUCAUGCUCCAAAAUAUUUCCACUAGAUUGCACAAGAUGGGACUGUAUAUAAGAACUGUGCACAACAAUUGCACUAUGAAAUUAUAAAAUGUACUUGAUUGCACAAGAUGGGCCUUAUAUGAGAACCGUGGACUCACUCAAAGUUGUUUGGCUAUUGGCAGUCAGGUUUGCACAAAUAUGAUAAGAUUUUACUGAGCUUGUGAUUAUUUAGAUAUAUUAUAUAUCUACCAUUAAAGCUAUUGAUUCUUCUACAUUAGGUAGUUCAUCUUGCAACAAAUAGAGCUAGAUUCUUUUGCUAUUUUCAACAAUCACAACAGGGUAUAAUCUCUUUGAUUUUGUAUCACACUGACAUAGAGUCUCAUCUUUGGUUUGCACAUGAUAAUCCUUCUUGUUUAAUAUUACACCGGGAUAGAAUUUGGUCUUUGAGAAUAACUAGCCCCCUCAAAUGGUAUUGAGAAAGGACCUUUUUUGUUCCCAACAUGUAGCCACACUACGGCUGCAGCGGGCACGUCGUGCAAAACAUAAGCAUGUUGGUAAAGAUGUUUUUUUGGUUGAUUUUUUCCAGUAUUGUUGUUUACUCUUCUCUAGGUUGAAUCUGUCACAAAUGCUGGUGAGAUGGAAGUCAUCAUUGCUGCUGGUUACUGCUGGUUGUUCUAUUAGUAUGUCUUUUUCCUCCAAUUUUGAUUGAUUGCGUUUGUUUAAUUUUUGGGUGUGCUUUUAUCCUUUACUUCUACUCCAUUACUUGGGAUUAAUUUGGUUAUUAUGCUUAUCUCAUACACAAUUAUUCAUCUAGAUGUAGGUUGUUGUGCUUUGUGUUGUUCCUACAAUUUUCUACACCUAUGGUACCCCAUCAACGUGUCAAAUUCACGAUCCUAUAAAGCGGAAUGAUCUGGUCUAAUAAACAUGAAUAAGGCAAUGACAUGUCCCAGUACGCGUUGGUAUGGCAAAUGUAUUAACCGGGUUCUUUACCACUUGACCCUUUUCAGUGUAGCAAUAAAUAAUUUUUUUGUACAAUACUUAGUAACCAUAUAACUCAUGUUUGUUCAUUGGUCAUUUGGUAAGUGUAUCAUCUAUAUAUAUUUAUUUUAUUUCAUGUUAUUUGCAAAUAAGAGCUGAAGUGUUUUUUUUUUCUAAAAGUUUGGUAUGCAACGCCAACACUCUUAUAUUCCUGUCUAACACACUUAGGUUUUUAUGUACUUUGUUAUUUACUUAGUUUUUGAAUGUAGCCAAAUUUUCGUAUGUGAUAACUCUCUUAUAUCCAUUUGUCUUCAAGCGUUGUAUGUAUUUCCAGUGGCUAUGCAUUACAUUUUCUCUGGGGUUAACAUUUAAUCACUACAAGUCUAUAAUGACUCGACAAAAUUCUUCGAUGUGAACGGACAUAUUUAUUUUUAUGUCUAGCUGAACACCGCCCCAGACCCCUGUAAUUUUGUGUGUGUGUAGUUUCUCAGAAUAUGUGUCAGAAAAUUAUCGAUUCAUAUCUUGAAAUUGAGCUCAGGCUAAGUUGGUACAUUUGCAGUAGUUAAUUAUUUGCAGUCACAUUGUGAUGAAAUAUUUAACUAGAAGUGCGACCAACCUUAGAUAUUGUAUGCACCUGGGUGCAAUUUUUGAUGUUUAAAUUGGCUAAUUGGGCAAGAGCCCUUUUUACUCUUGCAGAAUAUUCUAAACCAAUGAAUUUGAUAAUUUAAGAGAACCUGAUGUAUACGAUUUUUAAAACUGUUAUUCACCAUUGUUUUAUGUUUAAAAAUAUUGGUAUAUGGCCCAUGAGGAAACCUACUGAACAGUGCUAUCAGUUAUUGAAUUUUCCGUGAUGUGCUUGCACUCUUUCUUGGGUGACAACGGAGAUUUAUCUUCUGAAACUCAAACACCGUUAUGGUUACUAAUGAGGUAGACACUUUCAUGAAUCCUGUUGUGAUUGGCAAUGCUACUGGUGUGUAUACUUAUAGCAGCAAAUAGAUUCGGCACAAGGAAGAAAUUUUAUCGAGCUAUAGGGAGAUCUCAGUAGUCCAACAUCAGACCAUGCCAGCUUGCUAACUAUAGUUUUGGAUUACUUUCUUUGGAAAUCAUGGGUAUUAAAGUUUUAGCAUUUCUUCGUUAUUACAUUAUGCUGAUGGUCCUGCAUUACUGGACAUUUCUGGGUUGGCGCUUUCUUCUAAUUUCGGUGCUUCUAUUUCAUCUGGGUGCCUAUGCUUCGUGCCUACUGAUCUUGAGGAAAAAUACUUAGUUCCUCAUGUCUGUGCUACUGCACUUUGUUGCCAAACGUCUUCUAAGUUUAGGAAUAAGACAUGUGCAUGCAGUUCAAGUUUUUAAAGAUUUAAUAUAGUAUGGUAUAACAAUAGGACAUGUGCAAUUGUGCACAAAGUGAUAGCUCAUCUUUUUUAGAGUUAAGAUUUUCAAUAUAAAUUCCUGAGUUGUUGUGGUGAGUCUAAAGUUGAUUCCUACUGCUUGCGUUGCCGCUCCACUCUUUCUUCUUUGUGCACGCAUAGUUCUGAGAGAGGUGAUAGGUAAUCAAGACGACAGACAAAGAAAUUAAUAGUUGCAUGUUUUUUCAUCAAUCAUUUUGUGGGAAGUGCACUUUCUCAGAGGAAACAUUUCCAUGUGACCUGGAUUAAUAGCUAGCUUACCUGAAAUAAUCUGAGUGGACCGCAGGGAUGAACAAGAAGAUAUAUGGAGGGCACCAGUGCUAGGCCUGGAGCCAUGGUGACCGUCAACGCUUAACAGUGCCAAGAUGUAGAAUGUCUGGUCCUCUACAGGACAAAGCAGCACACAUUGUUGUGGACGCCACAUGCAUAUGUUGGCCUUAGACGUCAGCUGCCCAAAUUCAAGAGAUAUAUUGUGCUGCUAUUUAGCAGGCAACUUAUUUACUUUAUCAUUUCUACCUGCUUAUCAAUUGUACUUGGUCAUGUAGACCAUGAUAUCAGUACAUUGCUUCCACAGUAUCUUAAUAUGUAAUAUGUGUCUUUUAUCAUUUUU